Aedes albopictus (Asian tiger mosquito) is the source of this 68-nucleotide non-coding RNA. Lineage: Eukaryota; Metazoa; Arthropoda; Insecta; Diptera; Culicidae. The record is from Rfam.
UGCCCAGCAACUCCUAUCCCUACCUCCUCGUGGUACCGGCCGGAAACUAUGAGCAACCUUAGGGAAGA